GGAUUAGAUACCCUGGUAGUCCACGCUGUAAACGAUGAGUACUAGUUGUCUGAGGCUUUAUGCUUUGGGUGACGGAGCUAACGCAUUAAGUACUCCGCCUGGGGACUACGGCCGCAAGGCUAAAACUCAAAGGAAUUGACGGGGGCCCGCACAAGCGGUGGAGCAUGUGGUUUAAUUCGAUGCAACGCGAAGAACCUUACCUGGUCUUGACAUACUAGGGAUUCUUUAGAGAUAGAGAAGUGCCUUCGGGAACCUAGAUACAGGUGCUGCAUGGCUGUCGUCAGCUCGUGCCG
RNAcentral lists this ribosomal RNA (293 nucleotides) under uncultured bacterium. RNAcentral describes it as "partial 16S ribosomal RNA". It matches the Rfam family "Bacterial small subunit ribosomal RNA", at positions 775 to 1067 of the family's 1533-position model. The record is from RNAcentral.